Non-coding RNA from Monodelphis domestica (gray short-tailed opossum), 1176 nucleotides. The record is from RefSeq and is a predicted model, not a curated record. NCBI's taxonomy places the organism in Eukaryota, Metazoa, Chordata, Mammalia, Didelphimorphia, Didelphidae.
CGAAACUGUUGGCGGCUGCAGGCGGUGUUCUAGGAUAACGUCUUGGGCCUCCAUCCGUUUGUCUUUUGUUAGGCCUCGGGGCAAGGGAGUGGGACAGGCAGGCGAGGAGCAUGAGCAGGGUUGGAGAGAGAGGAGGACGUCAGGGGCUGGGAGCAGGGGUCUAGCGAGGGUGGACUUGACCCGACAUCUUUGUUCUUUGGGGGCGAGGAGAGGGAGGGCUUCGCUGAGGAGGGAAUAAAAGAGGACUUCGGUUGGUCUCCGGGGGGAUUCCGCUCCCUUUCCGUAAGGCCUGAGGCCACCCUGUCUUCCGUAGCUAUGAUGUCCCCUUCUGCUUUCCUAGAAUCAGAGCUGGAAGGGCCCUUAACCUCUAACUUAACUUUAUUCUACAGAUGGAGAAACUAAGGGCCCGCAGGGAUUGUGACUUGGCCAAAGUCACACAAGGAGUAAAAAGCAGAAUUGAAAUUUCAACUAGGGCCCUCUAUCUCAGAUACUGUACUACCCAGAAUGAAGUCUCAAUUUCAACAACCAUUACUUAUGAAACAGGCACUGUGCUAAAGAGUUGGAGAUACAGAGGCAAAAAACUUCCUGCCCUUGAGAAGCUCACAUUCUUUCUCUCUCUUUUUUAACAGGAGCUCACGUUCUAAUAACAGAAAGAACUAUACAUACAACAUACAGACCGAAUGGAAGGAUAAUGCCAAAGGGAAGGAAUUGGGGCCAGGUUUGUGCACUCACAACUGGAAAAAUCUGUAGAAAACGGGAUUUGAGGACUUCUUACUUACGGUCAACAAAGGAAAUACUGACUCUGGGAUUUAUUCUCAGAUAAUGGAGUUCAUCUUCUACUUGCAUGUAGUGAAUUCAUUCAACAGCUAUUAAUUGCAAUGAAGCUCAUAUAAAAGUGAUGGGGUGUGUCUUCUUGACUGAAACAAGCUAUGCGAGCCAUACCACUGAAUGGAAAGACUUCAGGUGUUGCAUUGAGUGACUGAUGUUUUUGCAAAAACAGGUUUUGGUUUUAGAUGAAGUUUAUUUCUUAAUGUUUGGUAGAAAGGGAGAAAGGACAUCAGAAAUGACAAUAUGCCUUACUGAUGAAGAAAAGCAAGGUAACUUGAAUUAUCCUAACAUUUGUUUCUUUUGGGUGUCAUUACUUUUAAGACAAAUAAAAUUUUAUUAAAAAUCUUA